CCCGUAGCUGCCCACCAUGUAGUCCGACUUGUCAACUGUGGACACAGAGCGGAGGGCAUUACAAGGAAAAAAAAUGACAGUAAAAAUAACAUUGUACAACGCAGG
Hippocampus comes (tiger tail seahorse) is the source of this 105-nucleotide long non-coding RNA. RefSeq lists it as uncharacterized. The transcript is spliced from 3 exons. The record is from RefSeq and is a predicted model, not a curated record. Lineage: Eukaryota; Metazoa; Chordata; Actinopteri; Syngnathiformes; Syngnathidae.